This 76-nucleotide transfer RNA is filed under the name Nitrospinota bacterium. Its description in RNAcentral is "tRNA-Lys". It matches the Rfam family "tRNA". Rfam says of the family: Transfer RNA (tRNA) molecules are approximately 80 nucleotides in length. Their secondary structure includes four short double-helical elements and three loops (D, anti-codon, and T loops). The record is from RNAcentral. Lineage: Bacteria; Pseudomonadati; Nitrospinota.
GGGCCGUUAGCUCAACUGGCAGAGCAACUGACUCUUAAUCAGUAGGUUGAAGGUUCGAUUCCUUCACGGCCCACCA